GGGGCUGCUUAGGUUUCGACAGAAGUAAUGUCUCUUUAGAUUGCAAGUCGAAGGCACGCGUUAAGUGCAACAACAAAAUAACUGGAAACAGAAAUCAAUUAGCUUUCGCUUAAUUUAUUAGAAGGCUGCUCUUUAUUUACUUUUGCCAACGAAGUUUAUAAAGGGCUCGAUUUAGUUGGCUAUAUCAUAAUUAAGCCUGGUGAUUAUGACGAAUUUUACAGGCUAACUAAUAACUAAGUUGUCAAUUGAUUGGUUAUUAGCAAAUAUUUAAUUGACUAAACUUGUAGUAGUUUACUGGGAUAUACUUUUGGACAGGAGUUCGAUUCUCCUCAGCUCCACCA
This 341-nucleotide transfer-messenger RNA is filed under the name Bacilli. RNAcentral's name for it is "RUG11241 sp902767245 Standard tmRNA". It matches the Rfam family "transfer-messenger RNA". Rfam says of the family: Bacterial tmRNA, also known as 10Sa RNA or SsrA, is named for its dual tRNA and mRNA-like properties. Its role is to liberate the mRNA from a stalled ribosome. The record is from RNAcentral. RNAcentral also lists the same sequence under 1 other name. Lineage: Bacteria; Bacillati; Bacillota.